Molecule: ribosomal RNA, 580 nt
Filed under: Sphingomonas sp. 09WSH3-23
Lineage: Bacteria; Pseudomonadati; Pseudomonadota; Alphaproteobacteria; Sphingomonadales; Sphingomonadaceae
Also listed under: 2 other names
Description: bacterial SSU rRNA
Rfam family: Bacterial small subunit ribosomal RNA
Source: RNAcentral
GGGUGCGUAACGCGUGGGAAUCUGCCCUUUGGUUCGGAAUAACAGCUGGAAACGGCUGCUAAUACCGGAUGAUGACGAAAGUCCAAAGAUUUAUCGCCAGAGGAUGAGCCCGCGUUGGAUUAGGUAGUUGGUGGGGUAAAGGCCUACCAAGCCGACGAUCCAUAGCUGGUCUGAGAGGAUGAUCAGCCACACUGGGACUGAGACACGGCCCAGACUCCUACGGGAGGCAGCAGUGGGGAAUAUUGGACAAUGGGCGAAAGCCUGAUCCAGCAAUGCCGCGUGAGUGAUGAAGGCCCUAGGGUUGUAAAGCUCUUUUACCCGGGAAGAUAAUGACUGUACCGGGAGAAUAAGCCCCGGCUAACUCCGUGCCAGCAGCCGCGGUAAUACGGAGGGGGCUAGCGUUGUUCGGAAUUACUGGGCGUAAAGCGCACGUAGGCGGCUUUGUAAGUCAGAGGUGAAAGCCUGGAGCUCAACUCCAGAACUGCCUUUGAGACUGCAUCGCUUGAAUCCAGGAGAGGUCAGUGGAAUUCCGAGUGUAGAGGUGAAAUUCGUAGAUAUUCGGAAGAACACCAGUGGCGAA